UGACUGCGUACCUUUUGUAUAAUGGGUCAGCGACUUAUAUUCUGUAGCAAGGUUAACCGAAUAGGGGAGCCGGAGGGAAACCGAGUCUUAAUUGGGCGUUAAGUUGCAGGGUAUAGACCCGAAACCCGGUGAUCUAGCCAUGGGCAGGUUGAAGGUUGGGUAACACUAACUGGAGGACCGAACCGACUAAUGUUGAAAAAUUAGCGGAUGACCUGUGGCUGGGGGUGAAAGGCCAAUCAAACCGGGAGAUAGCUGGUUCUCCCCGAAAGCUAUUUAGGUAGCGCCUCGUGAAUUCAUCUCCGGGGGUAGAGCACUGUUUCGGCUAGGGGGCCAUCCCGGCUUACCAACCCGAUGCAAACUGCGAAUACCGGAGAAUGUUAUCACGGGAGACACACGGCGGGUGCUAACGUCCGUCGUGAAGAGGGAAACAACCCAGACCGCCAGCUAAGGUCCCAAAGUCAUGGUUAAGUGGGAAACGAUGUGGGAAGGCCCAGACAGCCAGGAUGUUGGCUUAGAAGCAGCCAUCAUUUAAAGAAAGCGUAAUAGCUCACUGGUCGAGUCGGCCUGCGCGGAAGAUGUAACGGGGCUAAACCAUGCACCGAAGCUGCGGCAGCGAACGUAUCACCCAAGACAACUUUACGGAGUUGACGAUUGACGGAGCGAAGCGACGUCAAAGCGUUCAUUAAAGUCGAGUUGGCUUAGGGAUACGUUCGUUGGGUAGGGGAGCGUUCUGUAAGCCUGUGAAGGUGUGUCGUGAGGCAUGCUGGAGGUAUCAGAAGUGCGAAUGCUGACAUAAGUAACGAUAAAGCGGGUGAAAAGCCCGCUCGCCGGAAGACCAAGGGUUCCUGUCCAACGUUAAUCGGGGCAGGGUGAGUCGACCCCUAAGGCGAGGCCGAAAGGCGUAGUCGAUGGGAAACGGGUUAAUAUUCCCGUACUUGGUGUUACUGCGAAGGGGGGACGGAGAAGGCUAUGUUGGCCGGGCGACGGUUGUCCCGGUUUAAGCGUGUAGGUGUGUGUUCCAGGUAAAUCCGGUUCACUUUAACACUGAGGCGUGACGACGAGGCACUACGGUGCUGAAGCAACAAAUGCCCUGCUUCCAGGAAAAGCCUCUAAGCAUCAGGUAACAUCAAAUCGUACCCCAAACCGACACAGGUGGUCAGGUAGAGAAUACCAAGGCGCUUGAGAGAACUCGGGUGAAGGAACUAGGCAAAAUGGUGCCGUAACUUCGGGAGAAGGCACGCUGACACGUAGGUGAAGUGAUUUACUCAUGGAGCUGAAGUCAGUCGAAGAUACCAGCUGGCUGCAACUGUUUAUUAAAAACACAGCACUGUGCAAACACGAAAGUGGACGUAUACGGUGUGACGCCUGCCCGGUGCCGGAAGGUUAAUUGAUGGGGUCAGCGCAAGCGAAGCUCCUGAUCGAAGCCCCGGUAAACGGCGGCCGUAACUAUAACGGUCCUAAGGUAGCGAAAUUCCUUGUCGGGUAAGUUCCGACCUGCACGAAUGGCGUAAUGAUGGCCAGGCUGUCUCCACCCGAGACUCAGUGAAAUUGAACUCGCUGUGAAGAUGCAGUGUACCCGCGGCAAGACGGAAAGACCCCGUGAACCUUUACUAUAGCUUGACACUGAACAUUGAGCCUUGAUGUGUAGGAUAGGUGGGAGGCUUUGAAGUGUGGACGCCAGUCUGCAUGGAGCCGACCUUGAAAUACCACCCUUUAAUGUUUGAUGUUCUAACGUGGACCCGUAAUCCGGGUUGCGGACAGUGUCUGGUGGGUAGUUUGACUGGGGCGGUCUCCUCCUAAAGAGUAACGGAGGAGCACGAAGGUUGGCUAAUCCUGGUCGGACAUCAGGAGGUUAGUGCAAUGGCAUAAGCCAGCUUGACUGCGAGCGUGACGGCGCGAGCAGGUGCGAAAGCAGGUCAUAGUGAUCCGGUGGUUCUGAAUGGAAGGGCCAUCGCUCAACGGAUAAAAGGUACUCCGGGGAUAACAGGCUGAUACCGCCCAAGAGUUCAUAUCGACGGCGGUGUUUGGCACCUCGAUGUCGGCUCAUCACAUCCUGGGGCUGAAGUAGGUCCCAAGGGUAUGGCUGUUCGCCAUUUAAAGUGGUACGCGAGCUGGGUUUAGAACGUCGUGAGACAGUUCGGUCCCUAUCUGCCGUGGGCGCUGGAGAACUGAGGGGGGCUGCUCCUAGUACGAGAGGACCGGAGUGGACGCAUCACUGGUGUUCGGGUUGUCAUGCCAAUGGCACUGCCCGGUAGCUAAAUGCGGAAGAGAUAAGUGCUGAAAGCAUCUAAGCACGAAACUUGCCCCGAGAUGAGUUCU
This 2319-nucleotide ribosomal RNA is filed under the name Salmonella enterica. RNAcentral's name for it is "bacterial LSU rRNA". It matches the Rfam family "Bacterial large subunit ribosomal RNA", at positions 594 to 2812 of the family's 2925-position model. The record is from RNAcentral. Lineage: Bacteria; Pseudomonadati; Pseudomonadota; Gammaproteobacteria; Enterobacterales; Enterobacteriaceae. RNAcentral also lists the same sequence under 1 other name.